AUCUUCCAUUCCAACCCAUGGAAAGAUUUUCUUCAUGGAGCUGAAAGUGAAGGAAAAAUCCAUGCAUCCAAAGACGAUUGUGUGCCUCCAACUUUGUUAGGAGAAGAACCGCAUAUAGAUGGGACAGUCAGGUUCAGGACGUCACACAGUUAUUGAGGGACCUGGACGCAUCAGGGGUCCUCAGGGGAUCUUUUUGACCCUGAUUUGAAUUGAAGUUCGACAGCGAGAGAGAGAAGAUGCGACGGGGCUGAGAUGAAAAUCAGUAAUUAUACAGAGAAAGGAAAUGAAGACACAAUUAUGAGCCGCUGCUUUACAACUCAGAAGAAAAGAUUCCAGACUUUCUGAGAAAUUCACUGAAAGUUCAGUCGACUUUUGGGAAUAAAGUGUUGUGUCUUCAUAUCUCUCAGCGUGUUCCUGUGUGUGAUGAUUAUUACACUCUCCUAACUGAGGCUGAUCACAGCUGUCCACAUGUGUGCACUGAAACAGCUGGAGGACACAUUCAGGAUUUAGUGGUAAAGUGGGUAAUCCUGCAGCAGAAACACAGUCUGCUUAUACAAAGUCCUCGUGUGUGUAUGAGGAACAGCCUCCAGCUCUGAAGGUGACAUGAUCUCGCUGUGGGGAGAAAAGAAGCUCUUGAGG
Long non-coding RNA from Silurus meridionalis, 639 nucleotides. RefSeq lists it as uncharacterized. The transcript is spliced from 3 exons. The record is from RefSeq and is a predicted model, not a curated record. NCBI's taxonomy places the organism in Eukaryota, Metazoa, Chordata, Actinopteri, Siluriformes, Siluridae.